RNAcentral lists this ribosomal RNA (497 nucleotides) under uncultured bacterium. RNAcentral's name for it is "partial 16S ribosomal RNA". It matches the Rfam family "Bacterial small subunit ribosomal RNA", at positions 28 to 507 of the family's 1533-position model. The record is from RNAcentral.
GAUGAACGCUGGCGGCGUGCCUAAUACAUGCAAGUCGAGCGAACAGACGAGGAGCUAGCUCCUCUGACGUUAGCGGCGGACGGGUGAGUAACACGUGGAUAACCUACCUAUAACACUGGGAUAACUUCGGGAAACCGGAGCUAAUACCGGAUAAUAUAUUGAACCGCAUGGUUCAAUAGUGAAAGACGGUUUUGCUGUCACUUAUAGAUGGAUCCGCGCCGCAUUAGCUAGUUGGUAAGGUAACGGCUUACCAAGGCAACGAUGCGUAGCCGACCUGAGAGGGUGAUCGGCCACACUGGAACUGAGACACGGUCCAGACUCCUACGGGAGGCAGCAGUAGGGAAUCUUCCGCAAUGGGCGAAAGCCUGACGGAGCAACGCCGCGUGAGUGAUGAAGGUCUUCGGAUCGUAAAACUCUGUUAUUAGGGAAGAACAAAUGUGUAAGUAACUAUGCACGUCUUGACGGUACCUAAUCAGAAAGCCACGGCUAACUACGUG